Zeugodacus cucurbitae (melon fly) is the source of this 1268-nucleotide long non-coding RNA. RefSeq lists it as uncharacterized. NCBI's taxonomy places the organism in Eukaryota, Metazoa, Arthropoda, Insecta, Diptera, Tephritidae. The record is from RefSeq and is a predicted model, not a curated record. The transcript has 3 exons.
CCCACUUAAAAGAAAAAAUUACAUUCGAAUCUGCCCCUCCCUAAUCCAAACCUAUGUUCCAACUUUUAUUUUCAUUACUUUGUUUAUAGCUUAGUUAUGAUAAUGUAUAUAUUUUCGGUUUUCGUCAUUUUGUGGGCGUGGCAGCCCAUCUUCGAAAGCAACCUCCUCAGGGUGCCAAGGAAUAUGUGUUCCAAGUUUCAUUAAGAUAUCUUAAUUUUUGCUCAAGUUAUCGCUUGCACGGGCAGACGGACGAACAGACGGACCCACAGACAUCCGGAUUUCAACUCCUCUCUGAUCAUUUAUAUAUUCUUUUAUCUCAUAUCUAACUCUUUUAUUUCUUGGUGACACAAACAACCGUUAUGUGAACAAAACUAUAAUACUCUGUGCAACAUGUUGCGAGAGUAUAAAAACAACGGUGAAAUGAUAAGCGACGAAACGGGUUUUUCAGUCUUGUCUAGGUUUGCUUGUUUUGUUUGCUUCGGUGUGGGUUGCGCUAUAGCUCAGCAUGUAUUGUCCAACAACAAGAACGGUUUCAGAAAAAUUUGUCGCAUUUGGUGUGCGUUGUAGUGAUGAACGAUAUUUCACUACCGGUUAUUUUUUCACUGUAAUUGAAAAAUCACAUAUAGCAAUUGCGAUAAAUUUUUGUAGAUAUCAGUGAUUUACAAUCGCAAUAGCAGUUCAAUAAUUUAAGUCCGAUCACAGUAGCUAUAGAGAAGUUCAGUGCUUUUGUUCGAUCACAGUACAUAUAGCAGUUCAGUGAUUCUAAUUCGAUCACUGUAGCAAUAGCAGUUCGAAAAGUAACAAUCACUGUUCAGUAGCAAUCUCAGUUCAGUAGCAAUAUCACUUCGAAAAGUAACAUCACUGUUCAGUACCAAUAUCAGUUCGAAAGUAGCAAUCACUGUUCAGUAACAAUAUCAGUAUAUAACAGUAGCAAAUUUAGUUGCGAUUUCGGUAAUUGUGGUAAAUUUGGUAAAAAUUUAUUAAUUAGUUUGUGAUGGGAAAUUGUGAUUACAAAAGCAGCAAUAUAAAAUCACAGUGAUUUAAAAACAGCAAUCACUGAAAUCACAGUGAUUCAAAAUUCGCAAUAUCGCUCAUCACUAGUUGAGACAGAAUAUUUUUUACAUCAAAUGGAAUUAUAUCCGACAUUUCUGAAGCUUGUUUUGGGCAUCGCAAUGAUCUAACCCAAUAGUAAAACAGCGCCUCAAAAUCAUGAAUAAAUCAGCAAACUUUGCCAUCAAUAGAUAUUGUUGUAAUUGAUACGAUUGUAC